RNA transcript from Centrocercus urophasianus (Greater sage-grouse), 12743 nucleotides. It is a transcript of the gene named phosphoinositide kinase, FYVE-type zinc finger containing, with no coding region annotated. NCBI's taxonomy places the organism in Eukaryota, Metazoa, Chordata, Aves, Galliformes, Phasianidae. The record is from RefSeq and is a predicted model, not a curated record. The transcript has 45 exons.
GCGGCCUGCGCCCGGCCCGGUACCCGCGGGCGGCAGGGUACGUGAAAUGGCAGCAGAUGACAAGCGGUCUCCAACACUGGAUUCUACCAGUGAUCUACCUCGUUCUCCUAGCAGUCCAUCUCAUCUCACUCACUUCAAACCCCUGACUCCUGACCAGGAUGAGCCUCCUUUUAAAUCAGCCUACAGCUCUUUUGUAAAUCUCUUCCGUUUCAGCAAGGAUGAUGGCAGGCUUUCAUCCCCAGCGGAGAGAGCAGAAGCAGCACAGGCUGAUUCACAGGCACUGAGCAGCAGCUGGUCCAGUCCUCAGCAUCCCCCCAGGGCUCAGUCUCUGAGGUCACCAGUUACGUACAAAAAACAACUAACUGGUGAGCUGCAAAGACGAUCUUCCUCAACCCUAGACAAUCGAAGGAAAGUGGAACCUCCUCUGGGAGGUCAUGAUCCUCGAACAGCAGUUCAGUUAAGAAGCCUCAGCACUGUCUUAAAACGCCUCAAAGAAAUCAUGGAAGGGAAGAGCCAGGACAGUGACUUGAAGCAGUACUGGAUGCCUGACAGCCAGUGCAAAGAGUGCUAUGACUGUAGUGAGAAAUUCACCACCUUCCGUCGGAGGCACCACUGUCGGCUUUGUGGGCAGAUCUUCUGUAGUAGAUGCUGCAAUCAAGAAAUCCCUGGGAAAUUCAUGGGCUACACAGGGGAUCUCCGAGCCUGUACUUACUGCCGCAAAAUAGCCUUAAGCUAUGCACACUCCACAGAUAGCAAUUCCAUUGGAGAAGAUUUAAAUGCUCUGUCAGAUUCUGCGUGUUCAGUGUCAGUGUUGGAUCCUGGUGAGCCUCGCACUCCAGUUGGGAGCCGUAAAGCUAGCCGCAACAUCUUUCUGGAGGAGGAUCUAACCUGGCAAAGUUUGAUUCACCCAGACUCUUCAACUACAACGCUGUCUGCACGCCUUGGGUCUGUCCAGGAGGAUGCAGGGAAGUCUCCAGCUAGGAAUAGAUCAGCCAGCAUCACUAACCUGUCGCUGGAUCGGUCGGGUUCGCCGAUGGUGCCUUCCUAUGAGACAUCCGUCAGCCCCCAGGCCAGUCGCACACAUAUGAAGGCAGAGACCAGCGAGGAUGAGCGCAAAAUCCUUCUGGACUCAGUCCAGCUGAAAGAUCUGUGGAAGAAAAUCUGCCAUCACAGUAGUGGGAUGGAGUUCCAGGACCAUCGCUACUGGCUGCGGACACAUCCCAACUGCAUUGUGGGAAAAGAGCUGGUGAACUGGCUCAUCAGAAAUGGACACAUAACCACAAGGGUUCAAGCCAUUGCUAUUGGGCAAGCACUAGUUGAUGGACGCUGGCUAGAUUGUGUCAGUCAUCAUGAUCAGCUCUUCAGAGACGAGUAUGCCCUGUACCGACCAUUGCAGAGCACAGAGUUUUCGGAAACCCCCUCUCCAGACAGUGACUCUGUGAACUCUGUAGAGGGGCACUCAGAGCCAUCCUGGUUCAAAGACAUCAAAUUUGAUGACAGUGACACAGAGCAGAUUGCUGAUGAAGGAGAAGAUAACUUGGCCAACUCCGCCAGCCCUAGCAAGCGCACUUCAGUCAGCAGCUUCCAGUCCACAGUGGACAGUGAUUCAGCCGCCUCCAUCAGCCUGAACGUGGAGAUGGACAACGUGAACUUCCAUAUCAAGAAGCACUCCAAGUACCCACAUGUGCCCCCUCACCCUGCCGACCAAAAAGAGUACUUGAAUCCUGACAACGGAGGGCAGCAGAUGUUCUCUAUAAGUGAUGCUUUUAUUAAAGAAUCAUUAUUCAACAGGAGGGUGGAGGAGAAGUCCAAAGAACUCUUUUUCACACCGCUAGGCUGGCACCACAGCAACCUGGAUCUGCUGAGAGAAGAGAAUGGGGAGAAACAAGCCAUGGAAAGGCUGCUCUCUGCUAACCACAACCACAUGAUGGCGCUGCUUCAGCAACUUCUGUACAAUGAGUCGCUGUCACUGUCGUGGAGGGAUAUCAUUGUACCUGUGGUCUGUCAGGUAGUUCAAACUGUAAGGCCUGAUGUCAAGAACAGAGAUGAUGACAUGGAUAUCCGCCAGUUUGUCCACAUCAAAAAAAUCCCUGGUGGAAAGAAGUUUGACUCCAUGGUGGUGAAUGGAUUUGUAUGCACUAAGAAUGUUGCACAUAAGAAGAUGAACUCUUGCAUAAAAAAUCCCAAAAUUCUUCUGCUGAAGUGUUCAAUAGAGUACCUUUAUAGAGAAGAAACAAAAUUUACCUGCAUAGACCCUAUAGUACUUCAGGAGAGGGAGUUCCUGAAGAACUAUGUGCAACGGAUAGUUGAUGUCAGGCCUAAUUUGGUCCUUGUUGAAAAGACUGUGUCUCGAAUCGCCCAGGACAUGCUGCUAGAGCAUGGUAUCACCUUAGUCAUCAAUGUCAAGCCGCAAGUUUUAGACCGUGUAAGUCGAAUGACUCAGGGAGACUUGGUGAUGUCAAUGGAUCAACUGCUGACCAAACCACGUUUGGGAACCUGUCAUAAAUUUUACAUGCAGGUGUUUCAAUUGCCCUAUGAUCAAACAAAAACUCUAAUGUUCUUUGAAGGGUGUCCUCAGCACCUGGGUUGCACUAUCAAGUUGUGUGGUGCUGCAGAGUAUGAACUGGCCCGUGUGAAGGAGAUCUUGAUCUUUAUGAUCUGUGUGGCUUAUCAUUCCCAGCUGGAAAUCUCUUUCCUUAUGGAUGAAUUUGCCAUGCCCCCUACUCUCACCAAAAACACUUCCUUUCACUCCCUUAUUGAGGAACCAGGAGAUGAAAAUGAACAACAGGACCUGUUCAAUGGUGAGGAUUUCAGCACGACGAUCAGAGACAUUGAACCCUCAGCUGAAAAGCUUCCUGUGAUCUCUGAAUCAGUGUCAUCUGAUGAGGUCACCCUGCUUGAACAAAGAGGUUUAUUUGAGAGAGGUGACCAAGAGAACAGUCAGCUGGAAACAGUGCCCUCAAAACAGCAAGAGCACCACAAAAUGGAGUCGUCGUUUCCAGUGUUUCACUCUGUACCUCCGGUAGUGCCUGAAACAUCUCUGCUCCCCCUCCAUGGCAUGGACCAACACUUGGUGGCUCUGGACAGCCAGCUGCUAGAGCCUAUUCAACAGGCAGAUGAUCUGCAGGAAUCCAAGAAUCAGAUGAGAGUCUUCAGAGACCCUCUCCAGGAUGAUACUGGUUUAUAUGUUACAGAAGAGGUAACGUCUUCUGAGGAUCGUCUCAAGACGUACUCAGCAGCAUUUAAGCAAGAGCUGAAAGAUGUUAUUCUCUCAAUUUCUCCUGUAAUGGUGUUCCGUGAACCAUUUCUAUUGACUGAAAAAGGCAUGAGAUGCCCUGCUCGAGAAUACUUCCCUGAGCAGGUUUAUUGGUCUCCUCUCCUUAACAAGGAGUACAAGGAGUUGGAGAGUAGAAGGAAGAGACAGUUAUUGCGGGAUCUCUCUGGACUACAAGGGAUGAAUGGGAGUGUCCAAGCCAAGGCUAUCCAAAUUUUACCUUCCCAUGAGCUGGUCAGUACUAGAAUAGCAGAGCAUCUAGGUGAUAGCCGGAGUUUAGCCAGAAUGCUGGCUGACUAUCGAGCCAGGGGAGGGAGGAUACUACAGAGAAGCACAGAUCCCUUUGCCCAAAUGAAGGAUGUAUCCAGUGUCCCUGCUGGAAGAACCGGAUGCAAAAUUGAAGAGGAUGAGAAAGGACUGGCUCAAAAUGAAUCCUCCUGGUCUCAUAAGGUGGAUUGCUUGAGUCCAGUAAACCAUCAGAGGCUCUGUGUUCUCUUCAGUAGCUCUUCUGCACAGUCCAGCAAUGCUCCAAGUGCCUGUGUCAGCCCCUGGAUUGUGACCAUGGAAUUCUACGGAAAAAAUGACCUGACUCUAGGGAUUUUUCUGGAGCGCUACUGUUUUAGGCCUUCAUACCAGUGCCCCAGCAUGUUCUGUGAAACGCCAAUGGUGCAUCACAUUCGUCGCUUUGUGCAUGGGCAAGGAUGCGUGCAAAUUGUGUUAAAGGAGCUGGACUCCCCAGUCCCUGGGUACCAGCACACAAUUCUUACUUAUUCCUGGUGUAGGCUGUGCAAACAGGUGACACCAGUUGUUCCUCUUUCUAGUGAUUCUUGGUCUAUGUCUUUUGCAAAAUACCUUGAGCUGAGAUUCUAUGGGCACCAGUACACACGAAGGGCCAAUGCAGAGCCUUGUGGUCAUUCAAUUCACCAUGACUAUCACCAGUAUUUUUCUUACAAUCAGAUGGUGGCAUCUUUCAGCUACUCUCCAAUCCGUCUACUUGAAGUAUGUGUCCCACUACCCAAGAUCUAUAUCAAACGGCAGGCUCCGCUGAAAGUUACGAUUUUGCAGGACCUUAAGGACUUCUCUCAAAAGGUGUCACAAGUGUACCUUGCUGUUGAUGAUCGCCUCGCUUCUCUGAAAACUGACACUUUCAGCAAAACAAGGGAAGAGAAAAUGGAAGAUCUGUUUGCACAAAAGGAGAUGGAAGAGGGGGAAUUUCGAAACUGGACUGAGAAAAUUCAGGCAAGGCUCCUUUCAUCAUCACUGGACACACCUCAACAGCUUCAAUCUAUUUUUGAAUCUCUGAUUGCUAAAAAGCAAGGACUCUGUGAAAUGCUGCAAGCCUGGAAUAGUAGGUUGCAGGAUCUUUUCCAGCAAGAAAAAGGGAGAAAACGCCCCUCAGUACCUCCUAGCCCUGGAAGACUGAGACAAGGUGAAGAAAGCAAGAUCAGCAGCAUGGAUGCUUCCCCACGCAAUGUUUCUCCAGCACUCCAAAAUGGAGAAAAAGAGGAUCGUUUUCUGACUACUUUAUCAAGUCAGAGCUCCACAGGCUCCACGCAUCUUCAGUUGCCCACUCCUCCAGAGGUUGUGUCUGAACAACUAACUGGUGCCAACACACUUUCUGAACAGGAUACAACCAGUAGCUCAGAAGAUGUGUUUGAUGGACACUCACUGGGAUCUACUGACAGCCAAGUGAAAGAGAAGUCUACUAUGAAAGCUAUUUUGGCUAACUUAUUGCCUGGGAACAAUUACAACCCUAUUCCAUUUCCCUUUGACCCAGAUAAGCACUACCUAAUGUACGAGCAUGAGCGCGUACCUAUUGCAGUCUGUGAGAAAGAACCAAGCUCCAUCAUAGCUUUUGCUCUCAGUUGCAAGGAAUAUAGAAAUGCCCUUGAUGAGUUGUCCAAAGCAUCUCCAAAAAACGGUACUGAAGAAGGACUACAGGCAAACAGUACAUCAGAUGGCAAACCAAAGAGUGGUAGUCCUGUGCGCCUGCCUGAGGCUAACAUGGGUCCUUCAAAUCGUGCUGCUGAAGUGGAACAACCAAAGAAACCAUCUAGUGUUUUGUCUUUCUUCCGUGGCACGGGAGGGAAGAGCCCAGACCUGUCUUCCCAGAAGAAGGAGACCUUACGUGGUGCUGACAGCGCUUAUUACCAGGUUGGACAGAUGGGUAAAGAGGGAGCGGAGAACCAAGGAGCAGAGCCACAAGAUGAGGUAGAUGGAGGAGAUGGACAGAAGAAACAGCUGGUGAAUCCCCAUGUGGAACUCCAGUUCUCAGAUGCGAAUGCCAAGUUCUACUGCAGGAUUUAUUAUGCUGGCGAGUUUCACAAGAUGCGUGAAGUGAUACUGGGGAGCAGUGAAGAGGACUUCAUCCGCUCCCUCUCUCACUCGAUGCCCUGGCAGGCACGAGGUGGCAAAUCUGGGGCUGCGUUCUAUGUGACUGAAGAUGAUAGAUUCAUCUUGAAGCAGAUGCCUCGCCUGGAAGUCCAGUCAUUCCUUGACUUUGCUCCACACUACUUCACUUACAUCACUAAUGCAGUUCAGCAGAAGAAGCCCACAGCGCUGGCCAAAAUCCUUGGGGUGUAUCGAAUUGGAUAUAAGAACUCUCAAAACAACACUGAAAAGAAACUGGAUCUGCUUGUCAUGGAAAACCUUUUCUAUGGAAGGAAAAUGGCUCAGGUUUUUGACUUAAAGGGCUCCCUCCGGAAUAGGAAUGUUAAAACAGACACAGGGAAAGAAAGCUGUGAUGUCGUUCUAUUGGAUGAGAACCUUCUGAAGAUGGUCCGUGACAACCCUUUGUACAUCCGUUCCCACUGCAAGGCUGUGCUGAGAGCUUCUAUACACAGUGAUUCCCAGUUCCUCUCCAGCCACCUCAUCAUAGACUAUUCCCUGCUGGUGGGUCGUGAUGAUACAAACAAUGAGCUGGUUGUGGGGAUUAUUGACUAUAUUCGCACUUUUACCUGGGACAAAAAACUUGAAAUGGUGGUGAAGUCAACUGGCAUCUUGGGGGGACAAGGUAAGAUGCCAACUGUGGUCUCCCCAGAACUGUACCGGACCAGGUUUUGUGAAGCUAUGGACAAGUAUUUCCUGAUGGUGCCAGACCAUUGGACAGGGCUUGGCCUGAAUUGCUAAACUAAAGCCCAUAUUGGCAAAGCACAGGUGGACAAUGGUGUGUUACAGGUCACUCUCUUUCUGUGGUCUGCCCAGCAGUAAGCAAGAGGAUUCCACAUCUGUACUGACCACACGCGUCAUGUUGUAAGGUGUGAAAUUUGCUUGUUGCACUUUAAUCCUUUCUUGAAGGAUGAUGAGUGGGCCAGUCUCAUCAAGGAUUUAAGCUGUACGGUACCGCUGAAGAGCACUGAUGAGAGACUUUCCCUCUGUCGGUAGGGAAGGUGGUGAUAUCUCCAUGUAUGAGCAUUGAAACCAACGCUAUCUCUUUCAUGGUGGUACAGAAGUACAUGAUCUCUAUAAGUCUUGCACUCCUUAAUUGGUGUUGAGUAUGAGUAGCUCAUGUUUCUGUAGUGGAUAUGUGGUAUUGCAAAUGUGAAAUAAGCACUCCUGCCCCAUGCGGAUGAGUGAAGGAAGAAUCAAGUUAAUUCUGAAGUUAUGCUGUGGUUGCAGUGAUCUGUAGUUGACCUGUUUAGGACCCAAGAAUAACUUAUGCGCGUGCUUUUUUUUUUUUUUUUUUUUUAAAGGCAGCUCCGCAGCUCUGAUGCCGUUACUCUCUAAAUCACUACAACUCCCGCUUUCAACAGCGCUGUGUGAGAGAGCAUUUUACCCAGAAGGUGGCGGUGUUUCAAUGACCCAAUUCUUCCAAGAGGCAGAUCUUCAGAAAACGUCUCCAGAUAAAAUUCCAGAGGAGUGGAAGGAGGCAGACAGUGGAGCUCUGAUUCGACGAUUUACAUCUACUUUAACAGGCUACUGACCUUAAAACUGGCCGCUGCUAAACAAGAAAGAAAAAGCCACGUUCCUGAGUUUCAGUUCAACCUACUGAAAUGCGACAGCAGAUUAAAAUGGCAGGUGUUUGAAGCCAGCAAUGACUGGGAUGAAAAUAUUAUAGAAGCCUAUUUUAAUAGCUUUUAAUGAAAAUUUUUCCAUGCAUCAGAACGUGUGACUGUAGUGUGCAAUCACUUUCUAAACUGAGGUACUUACUAAUACUGAUGGGCUGUGCUUGAUUUUUGAGGAAAGAGUCUUAUUUCAGGAUAUCCCCGAACAUUUUCUUGGUGACAGAAGGAGUAAAAUUUUUGACAGUCCACGCUGCCAACACUGAUUAAUCCAUUUAACAUCUAGGAAAAGAAACAAUCAAACAUGCUAAUUGAUAAUACUGCUGUCUCAGAAUUGAUGUCUGAAUUGCUUGAAUUAACUGAGCUGAAGAACAAAACCAACCAAGGUGAUUCAAGGCUUUCUUCUUUCCUUUGAAUGGCUCACUGGUAUCUACUGGGAGCCAGCCAUCCAGCUGUGCUGCUAGCAGCCAGUAUCAUUUUAGUGUAAGGUGUGAUGUAUGUGGCUUACAAGGCACCUGUCUUGGCUUAAAAGGAACACGCAAGGGGUGGCUAUUGGGUAUGGCUACCAUGUUUCAUAUCUCAGGCUCAGCAGUUAAGACAGAUCCCAGUACACUGUAGCUAUGCUAUGGGUUUCACAGCUUGCAAGUGUCUUAGACAUGCUGAAUUUGUUGCGAAGGCCCAAACCCACCUAGCAAGGGUUAGAGUGUAUUCUGUAGGCCUUGUGAUACUUCACAGAUGUUUGAUGCAGAGCUUCAGAUAGAACUCCUAGUCCAGGCUAGUUUAAAGAAUCUGAAAGUCACAGGCUAGCUUUCAAAUCCCUCUUGUUUUGCCCAAAGUUUCUACUUUGGAUUCCUAAAAAAUGUCCAAGAAAGCUCAGAUGACUGUUGGUGAUUGUGGUACUACCUUUGCAAAUGAGAACACUAAUGGCCUUGCAAAAGAAAAAUAUCCUCCCAUACCCAAUUAGUGUGAGUGGGAAGGAUGUGAAAUUCAGUUAACUGAUCAUCACCCUUAAAGAGUGCUGAAUUUAACAUUUAUUUACUUUCAGUAAAGAAACAAAAUCUCUGGAAAAAAUAUCUUGCAAGGACAAGAAUUAAUUAAGAUAUGUAAGACUAAAUUCCUCUAAUCUUAAGUCAAAACCAGAGCUUUCACCAAGGUCUAGGUGCCAUCUUAGAAGUAACUAAUGGUCAUAGAGAAUAACUGUGAAUAAAGGGGUAAAUUAUUGCAAUUAAUUCUUACCCACUUUAUAGAUAAAUCUUUAAUUUUUCAGAUUUUAUUUUAAACAAAUACAGAGCUGUUAUCUCUGUCAGGUGUUAAGUAUUAAAGUUCCUCACAGCUUUGAAAACACACCUUUUAACAGCAUUAACAGGAAGCACUGGAUUACAGAGUUAAUGUGCUGAAAAACAUACAAAAAGCUUAGUAUCUGGAGCAGUGUAGAACUGCUAAGUAUGAAUUCCUGUUUUGUUCAUAAUAUUAAUCACUAGACUUUUUCAGCACACAAAUUUAAGACAGCAGUAACUCCACAGAAUGAAACAUAAAAGCAGAACAACACUUGAAUGUCACUUACCCUGGCCAUUUUUUUCCAUUCUGGCAUUAAAGCCUGACAAGGUCCACACCAUGGAGCAUAGAAAUCAACCAUCCAGAUUUCCUCUCGUUUUCUUCUCUCAACUAAUUCUACAAAUGUCUCUGGUGUUAGGGAGAUCACGGAUGGAUUCCUAAGAUCCUAUGGCAAAGGCAGUUUAUGGACAUGUACUUUGCAAUUAGAAGUUGUCCUGUUCCAGCUAUCAUCCCACACUGACUGUAUUAAGCUCUGGGAAUAUUCCUCUUUUAUUCAAAAUUACCCAUUCUAUGAGGUAGAUGUCAUUACCACUGUUCUGCAGAUUGGAAAGUAUCUUCAGCUAUUUGCUACUGAUUUGAAAGAAAUAAGUUGACAGAGUAGGGAAAUAAAUCUACUAAGUUUCAAGUCCCAGACUGACGCUUGUUGUAUCACUUGUUGAUGAAGGUUUUUUUCCAUCCCCAGUCUUACUAGUCUAAUGAAAACCAAAAUAAAUCUUGGUUCUCCAACAAAUUGUUUGUGGAUAAGCUGCAAACACAGCAUGAUCCCAACCAGGAUUAUAACUUACGAACCUCUAUAAACUCCAAGAUCUGCUCAGCAGAGUGAUGGCCUUCAUAUUCAUGAACGUCAGACUGAUUGAACACAACAGUUGUUGGAUAAGCUCGAAUGUUGUGCUAACAAAACACAGUAAGAAGGUACAAGGAAUUAUUAGGUGUCCUGUACAUUCCUUUAACUGCCAUUAGUACUGGUAUCUCCCAGCUGCUCAUCUGUCCUUUUUGUGCUACACAACCGCUUAAACUUACAAGUGGAGUGGAGUUUGAAACCUGUAUAGAAAAAAUGCCAGUUGUGUUCAUAUGGCAGUUUGUACUGAAUUGGAAAGCUAGUCAGCAGUUCUUUUGCCAUCCUUCACAAAACAGAAGUUAAUCCACAGGCUUUCUAAACCUUAACUUAAAGGCUAUCUUAGUCUCAGGUGAAGACCUGUGCCAUAUGAGGAUCUGUACUAUCUAACAUUGAAUGCAGAUGCUUUCAAAAUCAGAGUUCUUCAGUAGAAUACACCUAAACAUGACUUAAAAGCUUUCCCUUUUUUGAACAGCUUUAAGUGUUUUUAGAUGUCCACACUUCUAAUACAGAUAGAAAGCUUCUAACAGAAAAAGCUCUUUUAAACAAUAAGAUGUGCUGAUGCCUGCUAAAAUGUAGCACUUGCGAGAAUUCAGGGAGAGUAAUUCCAUUUUUUACCCAGAUAAGAUAACUGAAGCAAAACUAAGCAAAUUCAAAUAUGGAGAAAGAGCCAAGCUUUUUAGAACACAUAAACACCGUAUUGUUACAUACACAUAAAAAGAAAAUAACUAUCAAACAUAAGUUCUUGCAGCUUACCAUGUUACAAAGCCCCUCAUGGACUGUGCAGUCUAGUGUUCCAAAUUUAAGCUGACCAUAAAGAUGUUUUGAUGCUUUUCUCAGCUCCGGUAACAGAGCUCGACAGGGAGGACACCACUGGAAAACAAAAUGCAAAUGAAGGCAAUUGCUUGGCCCUGCAGCUGGCUCUCAGGAGAACAUCAGCUAUUUGAAAAGAAUAAUAUGCUGCUUUGGCAACAAGCUGCACUAAAAAUAACAAUCCGUGCAAUCUAGGAAAUACUGCUGCCAAGGAAUGAGAAAUUAUUGUACUGUCCCGUAAUGUUGAAGCACACCUUCAAGACACUGAUAGCAUUUUGUUACAUAAUUACAUAACACUUUUUAAAAAGGGUCAUGUAGAUACUAAAUAUUUACCGGUGCAAAGAAAUCCACAAGCCAGGGUUCCUUUUCUUUACCAGGAAAAUUCUGGGGUCCCAGUGUGAUAACAUGAGAGUUGACGCUUUCUUUGGCAAAUGCAACAAUGUCAUACAAGAUCUUCUUUCCUUCAAAGAACAAUGUAGAAAGGAAAUCAUUUUACCUUAUGAAAGAUCUCUUGAUAUCGUGUUGUUAGAAAUAUUGGAUGGAUGUGACUUCUGGCAAAAGUUGUGUGUGCCAUCAGCCUUGUAAAUAGCAAAUCAAAAUUCAGAAAAAUAUAUGCAUUGUAGUCCAAUAUAUUUCUCUGGCCCUAGUUAUAAUUUAUGCCAUUAUGAAAAGAUGUAGAAAUGCUGCAUGUGCACAACCUCUUCUUGGCUUUUCUGCAGUAGCAAUUGCAGAUAGGGAAAAACCUUAUAUACUGAGAGCACACACGAGAUGCAUGGGACCAUCCUUCCCUAUCAGAUGUGGUUCAUCUUUUCCAGGUGGUCAAAAAAUUUUCUUCUCUCUUCUUUAAGAUUACAGUGCUUAGGUUUUGACUGAUUUCUUGGCAAGCUGUUUCUAGUAGCUGAGAGGCUGAAGACUCAGAACCUCAUUAUGCAUAAUUGCCUUGUACUGCAUUCUGGAUCAAACAACACCAGUUAUUGCUAGCUACAGUUUUGUACCAUUGUACAUUAUUUUUUACAUUGUACCAUUUUUUACAUGGUACAUUGUACCACUAUUUUUUAAUCCUUUUAGAGGUACACAGUACUACAGUUACAAUCCUUCAUGGAACCAAACCAAACGAACAUAAGUGGCGAAGUCUUAAUACAGACUUUCUUGAACUGAAAUUAGUUAAGGAAUUUGUUUUAAGUGCAGUGACAUGAUAUCAAAUCCAAGUUUUUCAAGUGGCAGCACUGUAAAGCUGGCAGGUUAAGUCUCAAGGAAGUGUGUUCCUUGCAGCACUCUUUGGCUGUCCUACCCAAAACGUACGCUGUCUUGGUUAGCUUCAGAGAUUUCAUUUGUAUGUAAACAUAUUGGUGACUUUCAUAUAGACAAGAUAGAAAAGGCAAAGUACAUCUCUUAGUAUCUGGUGCCUCCUUCUGGGAGAGGAGAGAUAAAAGAAAAGUCUAUGCACGGUUACCUUAAUGUCAGAGACAAAAAGCAAAUAUUAAGACUACAGAACUGCUCCUUUAAUAAAGAAGAGCAGUUUGCCAAACGUGGCAUCAUCUUAAAGUGGUUAUGUAAUGACCUGGUCUUGCCAAAGCGUCCCUUACCAUGAUGAAUUUCGUAAUCUUCAAUUCCUUUUCCUUUGAACACUGCUAGACAUGGCUGAUACACAUAUAGUUUGUUGCAGAUGGUUGGAGAGGAAAGACAGUCAAACUUGCCAACCUAUUUAACAGAGUGCCAUUUUAAUUAAGGCAUCCAAAUUUAUACAGACUAACAUUCUGGAAUGCGGUAAAAAUAGGAUAAAUUCAUAAUAAAAGCAGUAAAAACAUGGACAACCAGUAGCCUUUUUAAAAAUAACAGCUCUUAAGACAAUCUUACAUCUAUGAUGUUUGAGCAAAACUGUCACAGCUAUAUUAGGUUGUUUUGCUAAUUUCAAAUUAGAAGGUCAAAAUAGAAUGACACCAAAAAGAAUCUUACUUUCUUCAAGGAAGCAGAAAGACUCCUGAAAUAAAUUAUGCUAGAAUCCUUCUAGCAUUGCAAUGAUUUUUUGAAAUCCACAGCUUAUAGAGUAACGCAAUCCACGUGUCUUUAGUACAAAGAUUGAAUCUGGUUUCUCUUUGCUAAGAUGACUUUCAAGAUAACAAUAGAGAUUUUUGAAUAAUACAGUUUUGCGUACAUCAAUUUCAUGUUGAAGCUUUAACUUUUGAUUGUUAACUGAAUGAGAUCUGCAGCAGUAUUUGCUGUGAGGGAAAAGAUGUAAAAUACAAUCUUUGCUAAUUACUUCUAAAUUAUUUAGAUAGGAUGGAAAACUUCACCACUUGCUUUAAUUUAAAAACGUCACUACUCAUCUACCAUACUAACAGCAUCUCUCUUUGGUAGCAGAGGUGGCAGUAGCAAAUCGUAAGGACCAACUUGUUCUCUGAAUACAAACGAAAGCCAGUGCUGGGUAAGUGAGCACUCUUACCUGAAUGUGUUCAUCUUUAAGUAAAAAUUUCAGUUUCUUAAA